GCGGAAGUGGCGGAAUCGGCAGACGCGCUAGUUUGAGGGGCUAGUGUCAAUAAAACGACGUGGGGGUUCAAGUCCCCCCUUCCGCACCA
RNAcentral lists this transfer RNA (89 nucleotides) under Candidatus Brocadia fulgida. Its description in RNAcentral is "tRNA-Leu". It matches the Rfam family "tRNA". From Rfam's summary of the family: Transfer RNA (tRNA) molecules are approximately 80 nucleotides in length. Their secondary structure includes four short double-helical elements and three loops (D, anti-codon, and T loops). RNAcentral also lists the same sequence under 4 other names. Lineage: Bacteria; Pseudomonadati; Planctomycetota; Candidatus Brocadiia; Candidatus Brocadiales; Candidatus Brocadiaceae. The record is from RNAcentral.